GGGUCAGUAGGUUGGUCGUGCCACCGGUACGUACUGGUCUCACUGAUUCCUCCUUCCUGAAGAACCGUAAUGCCAUUAAUUUGGUGUUGCGGGGAAACAGGACUGUUACUUUGAAAAAAUUAGAGUGUUUAAAGCAAGCUAACGCUUGAAUACGUUAGCAUAGAAUAAUGAAAUAGGACGAUCGAUCCUAUUUUGUUGGUUUCUAGGAUUGACGUA
Molecule: ribosomal RNA, 216 nt
Filed under: Glomeromycotina sp.
Lineage: Eukaryota; Fungi; Glomeromycota
Description: partial small subunit ribosomal RNA
Rfam family: Eukaryotic small subunit ribosomal RNA (bases 40-216)
Source: RNAcentral